Molecule: ribosomal RNA, 253 nt
Filed under: uncultured Simkania sp.
Lineage: Bacteria; Pseudomonadati; Chlamydiota; Chlamydiia; Parachlamydiales; Simkaniaceae
Description: partial 16S ribosomal RNA
Rfam family: Bacterial small subunit ribosomal RNA
Source: RNAcentral
UACGGAAGGUGCAAGCAUUAAUCGGAAUUAUUGGGCGUAAAGGGCGCGUAGGCGGAAUUGUAAGUCAGAUGUGAAAUACCGAAGCUUAACUUCGGUGCUGCAUUUGAAACUACAAUUCUAGAGGGUUGACGGAGAAAACGGAAUUCCACGUGUAGCGGUGAAAUGCGUGGAUAUGUGGAAGAACACCGGUGGCGAAGGCGGUUUUCUAGUUAAUACCUGACGCUGAGGCGCGAGAGCAAGGGGAGCAAACAGG